GCACCCAGACUUCCUUCCUUAAUACAAUUUUGAAAAAAAUAUGCACAAUAUGGAAGAAAAUGACGAGCUUCUAACUCAUAAGUACAUUUUACAUUUGAUAAGCAGGUGUAGAUCUGGUUUUCUCCAGUUUUUGCUUGAAAUUUAUGCUAAAGAGAGAAAAUUUAUUCCAAAAUUGAACUCUGUCUAAAACGUAUAAGAGAUCGAAGUUUCUGAAGUUGUUCCGAAGUUUGUUCGUUGGAUGUAUGUACAAUGAUUACAAUGAUUGAAUUGAUUAUUUCUACAGUUGUAUAUAUUUUUAAAAACAUUUGUAAAAUUGUAGAA
This is a long non-coding RNA of Xenia sp. Carnegie-2017, 321 nucleotides long. RefSeq lists it as uncharacterized. Lineage: Eukaryota; Metazoa; Cnidaria; Anthozoa; Malacalcyonacea; Xeniidae. The transcript has 3 exons. The record is from RefSeq and is a predicted model, not a curated record.